CUUGGUGGUUAUUGCGUCGGGGAUCACCUCUUCCCAUUCCGAACAGAGUAGUUAAGCCCGAUUGCGCCGAUGGUACUGGUUAACCCCGGGAGAGUAGGUCGCCGCCAACC
Molecule: non-coding RNA, 110 nt
Organism: Cryomorphaceae bacterium BACL21 MAG-121220-bin10
Lineage: Bacteria; Pseudomonadati; Bacteroidota; Flavobacteriia; Flavobacteriales; Cryomorphaceae
Source: Rfam